CCUGCCAGUAGUCAUAUGCUUGUCUCAAAGAUUAAGCCAUGCAUGUCUCAGUACAAGCCAAAUUAAGGUGAAACCGCGAAAGGCUCAUUAAAUCAGUUAUGGUUCCUUAGAUCGUACCCACAUUUACUUGGAUAACUGUGGUAAUUCUAGAGCUAAUACAUGCAAACAGAGCUCCGACCGGAGACGGGAGGAGUGCUUUUAUUAGAUCAAAACCAAUCGGCGUCAGUACGUUUCGGCGUUACUGUUCGUCGCACUUUUUGGUGACUCUGAAUAACUUUUGGCUGAUCGCACGGUCUUGCACCGGCGACGCAUCUUUCAAAUGUCUGCCUUAUCAACUGUCGAUGGUAGGUUCUGCGCCUACCAUGGUUGUAACGGGUAACGGGGAAUCAGGGUUCGAUUCCGGAGAGGGAGCCUGAGAAACGGCUACCACAUCCAAGGAAGGCAGCAGGCGCGCAAAUUACCCACUCCCGGCACGGGGAGGUAGUGACGAAAAAUAACGAUACGGGACUCAUCCGAGGCCCCGUAAUCGGAAUGAGUACACUUUAAAUCCUAUAACAAGGACCAAUUAGAGGGCAAGUCUGGUGCCAGCCGCCGCGGUAACUCCAGCUCUAAUAGCGUAU
RNAcentral lists this ribosomal RNA (620 nucleotides) under Bembidion hispanicum. Its description in RNAcentral is "SSU rRNA". It matches the Rfam family "Eukaryotic small subunit ribosomal RNA", at positions 13 to 602 of the family's 1831-position model. The record is from RNAcentral. Lineage: Eukaryota; Metazoa; Arthropoda; Insecta; Coleoptera; Carabidae.